GUCCCAUUAGCCCAAUUGGCAGAGGCGUCUGACUUAGGAUCAGAUCAGUGCAGGUUCGAAUCCUGUGUGGGGCACCA
RNAcentral lists this transfer RNA (77 nucleotides) under Bacillota bacterium. RNAcentral describes it as "tRNA-Leu". It matches the Rfam family "tRNA". Rfam says of the family: Transfer RNA (tRNA) molecules are approximately 80 nucleotides in length. Their secondary structure includes four short double-helical elements and three loops (D, anti-codon, and T loops). Lineage: Bacteria; Bacillati; Bacillota. The record is from RNAcentral.